RNAcentral lists this ribosomal RNA (632 nucleotides) under uncultured Pseudomonas sp. RNAcentral's name for it is "bacterial SSU rRNA". It matches the Rfam family "Bacterial small subunit ribosomal RNA", at positions 74 to 701 of the family's 1533-position model. Lineage: Bacteria; Pseudomonadati; Pseudomonadota; Gammaproteobacteria; Pseudomonadales; Pseudomonadaceae. The record is from RNAcentral.
GGGUACUUGUACCUGGUGGCGAGCGGCGGACGGGUGAGUAAUGCCUAGGAAUCUGCCUGGUAGUGGGGGAUAACGCUCGGAAACGGACGCUAAUACCGCAUACGUCCUACGGGAGAAAGCAGGGGACCUUCGGGCCUUGCGCUAUCAGAUGAGCCUAGGUCGGAUUAGCUAGUUGGUGAGGUAAUGGCUCACCAAGGCGACGAUCCGUAACUGGUCUGAGAGGAUGAUCAGUCACACUGGAACUGAGACACGGUCCAGACUCCUACGGGAGGCAGCAGUGGGGAAUAUUGGACAAUGGGCGAAAGCCUGAUCCAGCCAUGCCGCGUGUGUGAAGAAGGUCUUCGGAUUGUAAAGCACUUUAAGUUGGGAGGAAGGGCAGUUACCUAAUACGUGAUUGUUUUGACGUUACCGACAGAAUAAGCACCGGCUAACUCUGUGCCAGCAGCCGCGGUAAUAUAGAGGGUGCAAGCGUUAAUCGGAAUUACUGGGCGUAAAGCGCGCGUAGGUGGUUUGUUAAGUUGAAUGUGAAAUCCCCGGGCUCAACCUGGGAACUGCAUCCAAAACUGGCAAGCUAGAGUAUGGUAGAGGGUGGUGGAAUUUCCUGUGUAGCGGUGAAAUGCGUAGAUAUAGGA